Ovis aries (sheep) is the source of this 73-nucleotide non-coding RNA. NCBI's taxonomy places the organism in Eukaryota, Metazoa, Chordata, Mammalia, Artiodactyla, Bovidae. The record is from Rfam.
UCCCCAGUGGCCCAGUGGUUAGACCUCUGCGCUUUCACUGCAGGGGGGCUGGGUUCGAUACCUAGUUGGGGAA